GGCCAGGAAGUUGCAAUUGGUAUAGGCGUCUUCCCGGUCAGGUGAAGGUUGUGGGUUCAAUUCCCAUUUCUGGCCC
This 76-nucleotide transfer RNA is filed under the name Rickettsia endosymbiont of Ixodes persulcatus. RNAcentral describes it as "tRNA-Thr". The record is from RNAcentral. Lineage: Bacteria; Pseudomonadati; Pseudomonadota; Alphaproteobacteria; Rickettsiales; Rickettsiaceae.